This 293-nucleotide ribosomal RNA is filed under the name uncultured eukaryote. RNAcentral describes it as "partial 18S ribosomal RNA". It matches the Rfam family "Eukaryotic small subunit ribosomal RNA", at positions 6 to 295 of the family's 1831-position model. The record is from RNAcentral.
GGUUGAUCCUGCCAGUAGUCAUAUGCUUGUCUCAAAGAUUAAGCCAUGCAUGUCUAAGUAUAAACAUCUUUAUACUGUGAAACUGCGUACAGCUCAUUAUAUCAGCAAUUAUUUAUUUGAUGGUACCUUACUACAUGGAUAACCGUGGUAAUUCUAGAGCUAAUACAUGCACAAAGCCUCGACUCUCGCGGGAAGAGGUGUAUUUAUUAGAUAAAAAACCAACCACCUCCGGGUGUUCUCAUGGUGAAUCAUAGUAACUGAUCGGAUCGCAUGACCUCGUGUCGGCGACAGUU